Molecule: non-coding RNA, 161 nt
Filed under: Clostridium sp.
Lineage: Bacteria; Bacillati; Bacillota; Clostridia; Eubacteriales; Clostridiaceae
Also listed under: 1 other name
Description: GlcN6P sequence
Rfam family: glmS glucosamine-6-phosphate activated ribozyme aptamer
About the family: This entry contains a glucosamine-6-phosphate activated ribozyme that is found in the mRNA for GlmS. GlmS is an enzyme that uses fructose-6-phosphate and glutamine to generate glucosamine-6-phosphate. The ribozyme catalyses self cleavage of the glmS mRNA that is thought to regulate GlmS activity.
Source: RNAcentral
AUUUAAAUUAAAGCGCCAGAACUUAAGAAUGUAAUAAAUCUUAAGUUGACGAGGAUGGGAAGUAUCGAGAUUUCGGCGGAUGUCCCACGGUAUUGCACUAUCGUUAAAAGCUGAUAAACCCAAGGAGUGAUUCUUGGAACAACAUCAGCCUAUGUGCUUAA